GGGCGGGACUUCCUCCCCACGACCGGAAACCGGAAAGGGCUGCUUUCCACCGGAAGGAGAGAGGAGGCGUUGCCGCGAUGUACGCGGGAGGGGCGGGUUCGUCCGUGGCGUGUGGUGAGGCUGCUCUCUGGCCACCAGCGGGGCGCGCGGUAACAGUGUCUUAGUAGGCAGGCUGGCUGGUGUGUCGGGUUUCAGGGGGGUAUGGCGGGGAACCGGCGCAGGGGUGAGCGGUCGGCGUAUCUGCCGCGGGGUCCGCGUCUCCACUGAGCUGGGUCUCGUUCCGAGCUCGCGCUCAGCUUUCUCGACCUCGUCUAAAAAAACCCCAGCAGGGUGGUUCGCGGAGCUGCGGUGGGGAUGUGUGUGGGAGGGAGAGAGACACGCCCGGAGUAAGGCUGAAGGAAAGAUCAUGCAGUAGCUGAGUUCCACAUCCGUGGUGGCCCGUGUCGCUUAAGGGGUGUGACGCGAGGGCCUGUACGGAAGCAGGCGGUUUGAAUCGGUGACUCCCGCUUGAGGCAGCGGCACCUGUGGCAGGAAUUUGAAGACGCAAACGCCCGGCAGGUCAUUCUUAAGCUUCCUAAAUCCGCCGGGAACGUCGUUUGGUGUCGGAGGAGGAACAGCCGUCUGGGUCGUCGCCCUUGGUUCAGUUUAAAUCGAAGCAUAGUGAGAGGAGGCGGGCGGAAAGUCCCCGAGCUCGUUAGUGACAGAGCCACGAGCAGGAGCGAGAUUUCUUCAUCUCCAGGCCAUCAUUUUGUCCUCCACGUCUGAACUGUUUUUUUGGAUUGCUAAGCCGUCUUUUUAAGGGAGUGAAGACGGGGAUUGACCUUUCCGUGCAGAAUGAAUCCAAGAAAGGCAAAGUCGAUGCUGUGUAGCUGGAGAGGAGUCCGUCGGGUCCCUUCUGUCGUUUCCUAGAGGCCUGAGUUUCACGGAUGCGUGCCCCCCCCACCCCCCCGCCCCGCGAGACUUCCAGCUAACUACUUACAGUCCGAGCUCUCCCUGUGAGAACUUGCUGUCACAGCCCGUGGAAACGCUUACCUCGGAAGCCAUCUGAAUCGGACCAGCCACUGUGAGCCUGUAAGUUCACCCCAAGUCUAGGUGAGACGCUGUCGGGUGCCCUGCAGUCAGGCCUCCGCUGUCUUAGGUAACACUGCAUUUGGUACUCACGCUCUUUAUCCGUAUUGGGCAUUGUCCCGUCAUCUCUCUCGUAUUUUGAAAUGGAAAUGAAGAAAGUGUGUACGCCUCAGAGUUCUACAGAACAGCUUGUACAUUAGCAAGUACUGAAAAGCAUGGGUGUACUCUUACUACCGGGGAACUCACUCAACUAGACCUUCAUUGUGGGGAAGCCAUGGACGCUCUGUAUUAAGAACUUCUAAACUUUUUGGCCUCAGGACCCUCCUUUAAAAUUACUGAGGAUUCCAAAGAGAUUUUGUUUAUGUGGGACAUACAUAUACACACAUAUACAUACACAUGCAUGUGCGUGCACACACACACACACAAACACAUUAUUUUUAGUAUUAGAAGUUAAAACUGAGAAACGUUUUUAUCACCAGAACAUCCAAGCAUAUACUGUUGUCCGUGAUGAAUGUCCUCACAUAGUGUAGCGUCUGGUCAAACUCUGCUCUGUCUGUUCAUGGAAUCAGAGUGAAAAGAGCAAAUACUGUCUCAGUGUUAAUGAUGAAAGUAGUUUCGAGUUGACUGAGCCUCUGAAAGGGUCUUGGGCCUCCACGAGAGCCAGGCCCUGAGAACAAGUGCUCUGCGUAAAUGUUCCCAAGAAACUUGAGAUGAUGUAGACAUGGUUGCUGUUGCAAGUGAUGGUGACAUGGGCAGAAAUACUACCUUAAAAAUGCAGUAAGGAGCAGUCUUUUAUUUCCAGGGCCCGUAUAAUUCCAGGCACAAGGAACACAUCUUCCAUUUUGUUUUCCUUUCCUCCUGUUGGUUUGCAUAGUGCUGCAGACAGCGCUUCAGACUACUAGAGAGGGCUGAGGAGAGAAGACCACCCCUUCGGUGGGUUUAGACGUGGACAGGCUGUAGGUGGUUUCUAUUCCACUCACUCUCCCGGCUGUUCAGCUCUUACCUUCUCCUCCAGUGACCGCAGCACGUUACGGUCUGCACGCAUCUCCCUUCUCUCACUGCCAGAACUUGAGACUUUUCAGUGGAUUAGUAACUGCACAGAAAUGUACUCACUGCUGAGUUCAUAAUGAUUACCUGAGUAGGUAAAUGAGCUCUGCGGACCUCAUCGCGUCCGUGUUCUGAUGGUUUGGAGGGGAGGAGCUACAGUUCCUGCCUCUGGUUUGCUUGCAGCCGAGUGGAGCCGACACAGGUUGCCGGUUGCAAUAUGCCACUCAAAAAGAGGUGAGUGUGUGGCACUGAACUCAGCCUGGGAGAGGGAGGAAUUAGGAGGAAAUGCUUCCAGGAAGUGACCUUUGAGCUACGUAGGGAUUAGAUGGGACAAGAACAGGUCGGUCCAUUCCUGCCUAGGCAUCUGUGGCUUAUCAAGUAUCUUCUGCCUUUCUUCAGAGGUUUGGCCUUGCUUUCGGGUAGUACUUCUCUUAUUUUCUUUCUCUCUCCCUGUUUCCUCCUUCAUCACGUGGGUGUUUGGGGUAUAAAAGAAAUCAGAGGGUAGGAAGCUUUCUGAGUGGCAGAACGAGAUGACAGGUUGACCAUGAAGCAGUGUAUGUACUCAGGAAAUCCAUCUCUAAAAAAACAAAGUUCCUUUCUUAAAAUGCGUAACUGGGAGACCUAGGUUUUGUUGACUGAGUGCUUUCCUAGCAAGUGGAUUAUAUUCCUGACUCAGACACGUCUUUUGGAAUUUAAGGGCAUCUCUUAAGCCCACAUCUAGGCCUAGGAAUGAGCAUGAGGGAGACCGCAAAAGGAGAAUCUAAGUUCAUAAUACAAAAGCCUUUUUAUGGGCUCUGCAUGCAUGGCUGCCUGUUGUCUGAGCUGCGCGCUGUGUAGCUCAAUUGUCACAAUUCAGAUCAACGACAGUUUGAGUCCGCCAGGAUUUGAGUAGACAGAGCAGAGAACCUGAUAGUGUUAAAGUCUGGGAAGAUGAAGAAAAAGCAAUCAAUCGGUGAAUGGGGCUCGAUUGUUUCCUGGGGUUGGGAGUAGCAGAAAGCAAGCAGGGCAGCAGCACCUGUGCCGGAGCUACUCUGACGUCAUUCCUGCCUCCAGGCAUCGUGCCCAGCUCAUCCUCAUGUGCCUUCUAGGAGACUUGCUCCCUGGAUGGAGUCAUCUUCCCAAACCACCGGUUCUCAUCUUGAAUUUAGAUUCCUUAACUGUGGAUUGCAGUGAAGAAAAAUCUCUGAAAACUUGAAAAGUCAUCAGUUACCUAAAAGUGAUCGAUGACCAUUCCUUUCAUUCUUGACACGCUAGAGGACCAUGCUUUAAAAGCUGGACUUGGUCUUCUGGAGACUAAGAAAACAGAGUCCUUGAAGUCAAGCCGACUCUGCUGUUAGCCUCCUAAAGGAAAAGGUAGAUAGAACAGGUCUUGUUUGCAAAAUAAAUUCAAGACCUACUUAUCUACCAACAGCAACUACGCACUUCGAGUCGUCUUACUGUAAAAUAGGAACAGUAAAUUAUUAGAUUAGAAAGCGUGGGAGAAGGUGGAUCCACGAAAACUCUCACAGUGCGAACUGAUAGGAGCGGGGCUGGAAAUUGGAGAAGUUGCUCAGGAAAGUGGAAGGAGGACCUCUCCCGUGGUGCAGCCUUCAGGGAGUCCAGCAAGUUUUCUGGGAGCUGAGCCUCCUUGUAUGGAGACCAGCAGAGUCUGCGUUACGGAAUGCUGUGUCAGAGGGACUCGCGCUGCCAGCGUGUGAGCCGCGGGAGCUUCUGCUUCUGACAAAUACUGGAGGGUGGGGAGUGGUGCAGAAAAGGCCUCGAUGUCCAUAUAAUCGCUCUGCUUGAUACUGAUCACCAAGCACGUGCUUCUGAAAUAUUAUUGAAUGUGUCUAAGUGAUUGCAUAUCAUUGUCUGAACCAGUAGGAAGUCAGUUAUUAAAUAUACACGUUUCCAAAUAAAAGGCAAUUUAAUUUUAUCAGCAA
This is an RNA transcript of Mustela erminea (ermine), 4037 nucleotides long. RefSeq lists it as uncharacterized. The record is from RefSeq and is a predicted model, not a curated record. NCBI's taxonomy places the organism in Eukaryota, Metazoa, Chordata, Mammalia, Carnivora, Mustelidae. The transcript is spliced from 3 exons.